CCGUUUUUGGCGCGGAAUUCCGCGAGCGCGGCGUCGUAGGCGUUGUUCAGGGUCCGGCCGGAGAACUCACCCGUAGUGCCGUCUUUGAAAGCGAUCC
RNAcentral lists this transfer RNA (97 nucleotides) under Arthrobacter sp. StoSoilB19. RNAcentral's name for it is "tRNA-Tyr". Lineage: Bacteria; Bacillati; Actinomycetota; Actinomycetes; Micrococcales; Micrococcaceae. The record is from RNAcentral.